GCGCACAGGCCGGUUCUAUAAGUGGACCGGCACUGUAGCAGGUUUGGCUAUGACAGGCUAUAUCUGGCAUCGUUGGAGGCUACAAGACAAUUUUCUGAGUGGAAGCCCUGUCCAACACCCAUAUACUGACAAGAGUACUGGAAGUGCUGGAUCGAAUAAAAGCAACAGUGGAAGCAAUCGUAAGUGAGCCACUAUUUUGGACAAGCUGCUACAGAACUUAGCCAGAUAAUUUACCAUGAUGAGAAAGCGUUGAAUGUCAUGUUUACACUCAAGACGUUUAAACGACAUAAUCACUGAAAUCUUUUCCGGAUCCGGUUUAAGAGUUUAAUUCCCAAUGAUUUGUCCAAUAUAUCUUAGUUCCGGCUGAAAGAACUUGCACUUUUUCUUGUUGAGUCUUAAAUUCACUUUAAUACAGUGCUUUAAAAAGCUUCCAA
Daphnia magna is the source of this 434-nucleotide long non-coding RNA. RefSeq lists it as uncharacterized. The transcript is spliced from 2 exons. NCBI's taxonomy places the organism in Eukaryota, Metazoa, Arthropoda, Branchiopoda, Diplostraca, Daphniidae. The record is from RefSeq and is a predicted model, not a curated record.